AGAGUUCAUACUCUGAUGCUGCCAUAGACUGUGUCUCUGCUUCUCGGGCAAGUAAGCCAAGGCAGUGGCACCAUGGCAGUUUCCGGCAGAGCCUGAAGGGAGGUGGAAGGGACAGGACAGAACUUAGCUGGGGGACACACAAGGCAAUUGCACCUGACUCACUCCCAUGGAAGUUGUGUGGCAUGGUGUGUUGAAAAGCUGUGGAGGCAGGUUGUCCGAGUUCACCGUGUGUGACCUUGGCCAAGGUAGUAAUCCUUUCUAUGCCUCAGUCUCCCCAUCUGUACAAUGAGCAUAAGAAUAGGAUCUUUCUCACAAGAUUGUCUUGAGGAUUAAGUGAAUGAAUAUAUCCGCAACAAAGGCUACUAGUUACCCCCCACAAUACCCUUUUUCUCUUUCCAUAGUAAUGACUACCAAUUUUUAAUCACACAGCCUCUCAGAAUAAACACUACAAUUCCUAGGCUCCCUUGCAGCUAUGCAUGGGCCAUAUAACUAUGUCUGGCCAAUGUGAUAUAAGUGACCUCUGGCCAGGGGUCUGCCUGGAAUGUGGAUGUGAUACCUGGUAUCUAGCUGUCAUUUUGGACAUAAGGAUGAGGGCAACACCCUCAGGAUAGUACAGCUGUGAGCUGGAAGGUACCUUUGUCCCUGAAGCCUUCAUGAGCAAAGCCACCAUAUCAGUCCUUCACUGCCUACUUUUGCACUUUUACAUAAGAGAAAAAUAAAUAUUUUAGCCACUGUUAUUUGGGGCCAUUUCUACUCAUGGUUGAGCCUAAUCCUAGUCUAUAAAAUGUAUAAAACACUUGAAGUGAUAUCUGGCACAUAACAAGCAACUCAAUAUGUGUUGAAUAAAUGUUAUUAUUGUUAGUUAUUAGUGUGUGUUAAUUAAUGGAUUAUGUGAGGACAAAUUAUAGAAGGGCUUAAAAGAUCAGGAAGAGAAAUCUGACCUUGAUGUGAGGAGUUUAUAUUUGUUAACUUCUAAAAAAUGAUUUGAGAAGAAUUGAAGUAAAAUGACCCAUAAUCACUAGGGCCAUCCUAUAAGGAUAAAAGGCAAGAGCUGUGGAAAGCAGGGGAGAGAAUUGCACCAGAAUUCUAGGCUAAAGCUGGUUAUGAAAGCCAUGCAUAAAAUGUAGUCCUGAGUUGCCUGGCUGCUUCAGUUUUGAAGAAAACAGAAGCCUCCGCAGGCUCUUGUGUGGAGGUUUCCCAUUGUGCAAAGGCUUCGUUAGGCAGCUGAACCCAGCAGUUCCGUGCAAGACAGAUUGGACGGGGAAGGACUGAGGGUUCAUUAAGGAAGCCGUUGCAGGAGCCCAAACACGAAGUGAUGGAAACGAUGGCGAUGGGAUGGGAAUCAGGAAACAGGUAUGGAAGAUGAUUCGAAGGAACUCUAGAGGACUUGACAUGGAAUGCCUCCAGAUAAAGCAAAUGCAGACAUCAAAGAUGACUGAAGUUUCACAUCUGAGCAAUUACAGUAGUCAGGUGUCUGCUAUUGAAGUGCCAUGUAACAAGCACUCUCAUAAUCUCAGGGCCUUGCAACAAUAAACACUUAAUUUAUCGCUUACGGGUGUGCAGGUUGGCUAUGACUCUCUUGGGUGGCUGGAACCAGGCUUGUCUCCAAGCUGCCAGUUGUGUUCAGAUCUAUUCCAACUGUCUCCUCAUUCUGGAACCAGAGGCUAUUCGGGCAAAUUCACUGUGGGGCAGAUGGCGGAAGUGCAAGAGAGUUAGCCAAGCCAUGAAAACAUAUCUAAAGCCCCUGCUCACAACACCUCCAGUAAUGUUUCUAUUAGCCGAAGCACGUCACGUGGCUAAGUCCAAAGACAGUGGGGUGAGGCUGUAUGGGCCAAUUCUAUCACAUGGCAGGAGGAGUAAAGACGAAACAACAAUAACCCAACCUGCCACAACAAAUAGAAUACGAGUGAUGCGGCGGGCAUGGAAAUUAGGAGUGGAGCAGAGAAGAAUGGUGGGUUUCUUAAAGUGAGGCCACCUGUCCUGUGACAGCCAUCUGUCUGAUGCAGAGUUCUGGCACUGCAGUCGGGAUUUCUGGUUCCAGGUCUAACUUGGGAGCAUACUCAUUCUUCCUCUUGUUGCUGCUUCUUUGUCACAGAGGUUAAAAUUAGACCAUCAAGUGGACCUUUCCCCCUGCGUCUAAGUGUGCCAACCCUUUCCCUUCCCCCCACACACCAUGGUUAGGAACCUGCUGUGCAGUCACUCCUGAGAUCAGCUUUGCAACAGACAUUGGUGGAUGUGCCAUAAGAACAGUUCCCCAACCUGGGACCUCCUAUGCGAGGGAAAAUCUAGAAGGGAAUAUCCCCAGAUGGCACUACUGGUGAUGGGACUUCAGGAUACUUGAGGUCUCUCUGUGUAUUUUCCAAAAUUUCUAUAAUGAGCAUAUAUACAUCUUGUAAUUUCAAGGAUUCUUAAAAUGAUUUUUAACAGAUCAUAUCACUGGCUUGACUUCAUUUUGCCCCUCGUUUGCCGGUACAUAUCUAAAGAAAAAGUAUGUCUCUGAAGUGCUAGUCAGCACGGUGGACCAAGCCUGCCUUCCCGGGAGCAACACACGCUUGAGGCUAGUUCCCUCCUCCCAAUACUAACCGCUCAGACAUAGUUUGAGGGUUUCUUUUCUUUUCACUCCUGAACUUUCUUUGAGAGGUGAGAGGUGGGCGGGGGGGUGGGGGGGGAUUUUAGUUCGAAUACAAAAGAAUAAAUCAGAUUUUUCCUCUUGUUCCUCACGUGUUGAUGUUUGGGUUUUCCAAUCAAACUGUCUAUAAUGAAGUCAAGAAGGAAGCAAGCACCAGGGAGCCACCAGCCCGUGAAUGUUGCAAAUGCUCCCCAGCCCCUCCCACACUUAGCCACGCCCCCCUCCGUGACGCCUCUGGCAGAGGCAAAACCAGUGACCUGGAAAGACUGCUCUGCUGGGGUUCUCCUCACCAAACCCCCAUUCUCGCAGACCACAGAAGAGCAGGUUUUGAGUAAAAGGAGCAUGAGCUUUGAGUCAGGCUAGUCCUGACUCCUCUACAGCAUGAUCUAGUUUCUCACAGCUAAGCUUCCAUUUAACCUCCCCCACAGCCACGGCAUCCUCUUCCUCACCUCCCACGCACACCCUGACUGCUUCUUACUUACAUCUUCCUUGAGGGACACUAACCCACAGAUCCUCCACCAUCCACUUGUCAAGUCCAAAGUUCAGCCCCUAGUUUACGUUGGCGGUUGGUCGUAUGUGGAAUCUUCAGUUAUUCACAUUCUUCCAACCCUCCUUCCCUUGGUUUCUGUGAAAUCGUGCUCUCCUGGUUCUCCUGGGCGCUCUCUGAACAUUCGAAGUCCUGUUUCUUCCUCUCUCAGCCUUUCCUUGUUGCUCUCCUGGUGGCCGCCCUCUGCUUGCUGGUGUUCUCACCCCCACACUUUCUCAGUGGUCUGAUUCAUUCUUUGUUUCCACCACGAUUCAUAUGCUGAUAACUCCAGCCCAGACCUUUCCCUCUGAUUCAUAUUUCCUGGAGGAGCUGGUCAUCACAUGGAUGUCUCAUGAGCCUGAAACCCAGCAUGUCCAGAGCUGAAUUCAUCUCUCCAUUAAGGCACUUUGGUUACAAGCAACAGGGCCUGACUGAUUCUGUCUAGCCCGCGCACAGGUUAAAGGACAAUUAAUCCUUCCUUAACUGGAAGAAUUGCAAGAUGGUUCCUAGAAUCAAGGAAAAAAAUCACUGAACAACCUGCAGUCUGGUAGGCAAGGACCACGUUACAGCAUAGAUUCAAGUUCCUAAAAGUGAAUUUGACACGCCCAGCUUGGGUCACAGCUCCACUUCUUGAGUCUGUUCUCAGAGUAAAGGGAGACAAGAGAUGCGAAAGGUCCCAGAAAGACAAUAGCCACCCUGUGUCCCAAAUCUGUUUUCCCCCCUACAUUUUCCGUCUCAGUUGGUGAUUCUACUACUAUCUCUCUCUCUACCACUGAGACUGGGAAGGGGUCUCUCCCCCACUUACCCCACUCCCCUCCCUCUCAUGCCCCCCUCACAUCCAUCUUGUAUAGCAAAGACCAUCAACCAUUAAGUUCUAAGAGUUUGCCUUUAAAGUAGUUCUCCAAACAGUUGCCUCCGCUCCAUCACUUGGACCUCUGAACUCUGUUGGGGUCUUAUUAUCUCUUGCCUUGAUGACUGUUAAGCCUCCCAAAGAGUCUCUCUGUUCCCACUCUUGUCCACCUCAAAUUCUGCCUCCACAGAAGAGCCGGAGCAAUCGAUCAGAAACCCACAUCUGACCAUAUUACUCCCUGUUUGAGCUCUUUGCCUACAGGGUAAACUAUGGGACUUAGAGUACGUAUUUCUUGAUAUAAAAUUAAGUUCUGCCAGGGCCUGGCCCCUGCCUACAAUGCCCAGUCCAUAGUCCCUGCUCCGCAGCCUGUUUUAUCCUUGCUGAUGGCAGCCCCUCUGCCUGAGAGGCCACCAUUCUCCCUACCAUCGACCCGGGACCUGGCGAUCCCCAGCUCAUCUUUAGAACUCAGUUGAGCCCUCAGCCUCUCCCUCACAAACCUCCCUUAAGUCUCUCUGGGCAUUUCCCGUGGGGUUGAGGAUCCCUCCUGAGUGCUCCCAUAAUGCCUUAAACAUUUCGCUAUCACCGCACGUAAACCACUGUUGAUGCACCUCUGUCUCUGCACCUGCAUCUGCCAUCUAUAAAUUCUUGGAAAGCAGGAACAGGGCAAGGCGUACAGUCGUGGCUCCACAAAUUCGUUUUGAGUGGUCUUUGAACUUGGUAAAUCACAAACUCUCUGGGCUUCAGCUUUCUCAUUACAGAAAGGGGAUAACUCCACUUAUCCCAUGUUGUGAAAUUAAAUGGAAUAAAGCCAUUAAAAUGCCUUACGCAGUGGCAUAUAGGACCUGCUCAGUUAAAAGUCACUUCCCUCACCACCAUUCAUCCUCCCGCCACAAUUUUAAUUAAGAGGAAGAAGAUUUCUUAGUGUCCUUUGUUUAGCUGUAUGUCUUCCUAACUGGAGCAUAAUCUCUGUGAGAAAAUGGGGCACGUCUGUCUUGUUCAUUGCUAAACCUCUUACAUAUGGCAGGUGCUUAGUAAAUAUUUUAGGGUAAAUGAAUAAUUGCUAUGUAUGCCUAUUUGAUCAUUCAUUUGCACCUUCAAUUGAACCUAAUGCUCUUGUUUCAUUGCCCCAUUAUAUAAAUCACUGACUUCAAUUUGUUUAGCAUGCCUUGUUUCUUGUUGCAAACCAGCUGAUGCUCGGGGAAGAAUGGAGACUGGGUUCCUGCACAUGCCACCUCUUUCUAACACACACACACACACACACACACACACACACCAUGCUGCCCUAGGAACUGACAGGAAACCCCUGCUGACCCAACUCUAACAGCGUGGAGAACAUUUCAAUGAACUCGCCCCAGCACAAGCCCCAGCAGCAUUAAGACCUUAGGCGUGGGAAUCAGACCAGCAGGGCUUGAAUCCUGACUUCGUGACCAGCUAUGUGAAUUUGGGCCUCGUCUAUAAAAUGGAAAUUGUCAUACCAUUGGGGGUAGUGUUAGAAUUAAAUGUGCUAUGCUAUUUGCUUUGCAUUCAUUAAAUGUUAACUAAAAACCCUAUUAUGGCAAUGUCUAUAAGCUUUGCUCUACCACAGAUUUUUGGCCUAAUUACUCAUUCCAGCCUUCAGAAUCCUUUAAGAAUGGAUACUUCUACAACUCAGAAGAAAGAGAAUGAAACCAUGAAGGGAUCUAUGAAGGGACUGGAGGUAGUUUUUACUUACUUCCCCUUAGAUUAUCAUAUAUGAUUAUGAUGAAAGCCCAGUGAAAGGGUUACAGAAAUAAUAUUCUGCCUCUUUUAAAGAUAGAGAAACUGACACCCAAAGAGACUCAGUGACUUGUUCAAGGUCGCACUGGCAGUGAACAGCAGAGUCAACGAUGGCAUCCCCCUAACGAGCAGCCCCUCAAGCUAGUCUCUGUAAAGACAGCUGACACUGCAGCUCGAGGGAACACUGCAUGUGCCCACCUUGCCCUGCAGCAGUCUGGCUGCUGUAUGCUGCAUGACUGAACAGUGUGCAUUGUCCUAAACGGUAAGUAUGUGCUUCAUGUGCAACAAAGACUCUCUGAGCCACUUCCUCCAGCAGCUAUGCCUGUGAGCCAGGGAGUGGCGAGAGCUCGCAGCAGCUGGGUUGGCAUGCACCCUGCUCACUGCUGUUUAGUCGUGCAGAACACCGAGCACCUCUCCCUCCGGCUUCUCCUGGCAGGCAGCACUGUGUUCUCUCCAUCGGCCUCCAGUGCUUUUGCUGUGGUCAGGGAGAGUGAGCAGAACCCUCGCAAGGUUUUGGUUACUGGAGGUGGACAUUUUGUGAUGAGAAGCCCGUCUUUAAAAGCAUGCUGUGCAUUAGCAUCCUCUCAUUUGAAGAGAGCUAUUUUUGUCUUCCAUCUUAGAGACUGUUCCAAAAUAUGGGAGGCAGGGACCAGAAGGCAAACCAAAAGAAGCCAAUGUCUCCAGCUCAGAAGAGAACAAAUUACUGCCAUCCCCUCAAUAACUGUAACAACAUCAAUUGCCACGGCACCGAUAAAGAACAGGAGUCAGAGUCAGCUGCACCGUGGUCUCUUUCUGUGGGAUUUCUCUCCUUACCCUUCAGGAACAGGGUUUGUUGCCAUGGUUACUAGCAAACCACAUGACAGCCUCGCUACCUAGAAGUGUAGGAGAACAGCCCAUCAGCCUGUGAUGGGGGAGAUGCCUCCCUCCCAAGCUUGGUCGCUUUUCCUUCGCAGACCUGCGUGGCCCCGGCAUCUCCCUCAUUUCCUAUAUCCCCAGCUCUGAGGUGCAGGGCCGGCCAUUCUUUGGGCACCAGAACGUUGCUUUUGUGAUGAAAGCAACACAAGUUUUCCUCAAGGGCCUCUCCCUCUAGUUUCAGGAGCCCCUCUUCCCCUCCCUAGCCCCUUCCUUCCCGGACCCCUCUGACACACACACACACACACACACACACACACACACAAGAGCUGUAAUUAAAUACAGCACUGAGUUGAGUGGGAAGCAGUGGAGCACACAGCCUACACCACUUGAAUAAGCUCUUUUUUAAAACUCAAGGAUGGCAUGAGUCAGGGAUUUUGAAGCUGUGGUACAGUCAGGAUACCAGUGCCUCAAGGGGAUGGAGGGAAGGAGGGGAGGAGGGAGCACCGGUUCUACCGGUUCCUAAAGAGACCAGGUGGGGCCUGGUUUUCCGGGCACAACCUUCAGGGGGUCUGUAGACCCUCUGACUGCCUCAGGGUCAUGGAACUGGGUUCACUCUGACAACCUCUGAUAUGGUACAGUAGACAUAACCACCCCCGCCCCAGCCAACGGCAUUGCUUUCUGCGAAGAGAAAGUCAGCGCCUGGAGAGAGCUCUCAAACAACAAAGUUCUCCACCUCCCUACCUCCCCAUCUCCCCACCUCCCUCGACACCUUCCCGGUGGAACCAGAUGGCAUUAGUGGGUUAGCCCAAGUCUGGAGCUCUGGAAGUUGGCUGGGGAGUGGGUGGACCUCAGCAGCAGCAGCCUGGGCUAGAAUUGCACAUCCUUUUUUCUGACAAUUACAGAUUGCCUACUUCUCGGGUUCAGAUCACAUCUCUUCUUGUCACUCCCAUCAGAUUUUCUGGUCUUCUUUCCCAUUGCAAAAGCAAAGUCAGGAUGACACAUCAGCAGGCAACAGAAGGUAAGGCCUGGGAGGGACUCCACCCUGGCUGUACUAGGUGGUUUGGAGGACUCGCCUCAGGGCCCCUGCCUCAAGGAACAGAGUGUAGUGGUGGGGGUUGUGGGAUGUGGGGAGGGACUUGGGAGAAGCAGCGGACUCACAAAUGUAGCUAACCUGUGGGCCCCCCUGGGCAAGGGCCGAGGAGGCUAGCAGUCUCUAAAAUGAAGGGCCCAGAGGUGCACGGCCAGGGCGCGUGAGACUCUACCCAGUGGGGUACAGAAAACAUUCAAAAUUCCAUAUAUAGUUGUUUGAUCUCUUCCUUUUUUAUAUCUAUUUUGGAACAUGUAUUAUAAUGUAUAGUAUGUAGUUAUAUCAAGUAAGAUCAGAUUCAGCUGAGAUUAAGAAAGAUGAGAUUAGGCAAAACAACACUUUCACCAAGAGAGAACUUGACUUCUUUCUCUUGUACAUGCGGUCUGGGGGCAAGCUGCCCAGUGCUGGUAAGGCGUAGUUUCUAAAAUGUGGCUACCACUUCCUUGUCAAGGCUAUUGCUCAUGGUCAAGGCUUCUUGUCUACCGUGGGCAGCAGGAGGCAGAAAGAAGAAAAGAACUGCAUGCCUCACCCACUAAGGACACCUCCUGGGAACUGCACCCUACGCUUCUGACAAUUCAUUGGCUAGAAUCUGUUCAUAUGGCCUCAUAUAGUCUACUCUGCACGUCAUGUGCCCACUGGGGAAUGCUGCACUAGGGAAGUAGGAAGGGACGAACACUGGGGUGCCACUAGCAGUCUUUACCACAGUACUACAGCAGUAGACUGGCAUAUGUGUUGUUAGUACUCACAAAAUAAUAAAGGUACUUCUUGGGGGGCAUAGUCAAAAUUGGUUUCUAUGUGGUGGAGUUCAAUGACUAUUGCUAUGGAUUGUAGUACCCAACAAAUACAUGUAAUUGAUUGAAAGAAGGAGUAAGGGAUUUUUUUUUAACCACCUGGCAUCUCUUCACUCUUCUCCAGGGCAGCACUAUGGAGAAUGUUGUGUGAGGACUCAUUCCUCAUCCACUCUCAGCCACGUAGUUGUGAGUGGCCCUGAUUAGCCUCAGCAAACCAACUUCUUCCAUCCCUUGGCCACUGGGCUUGGUGCCGGUUACUGAGAGUCAGGACCGAGACUUUUAUUCGGCUCUCAGAAGGGAGACCCUGGACACGAAGCACGUGAAGUGCGGAGCUGCCCAAACCCCCUUAUAACCACGAUGGGAGAGUUUGUCUGGGAAUAUGGCCAACGUUCAGAGGAGAGGGGAGCCAUGUGGAGAAAGGACCAGGUCCUGGUGAUAUUAUUUUUCCUCCUGUUGCUACUUCUGAACAGCUGCAUCUGAACUCGAACACAGCGUGCGCUGGGAUCAGUAGCCAUCUUGGACCCGAUGAUGAGGUCAACCCCCUAGAAGAAACAGAGCAACUAGCAGGAAGGAGCCCAGGACUGGAUGACCUCCUGCAGCAGAGCCACAGAACCUGGCCUGUGUCCAUGUGAAAGAGAAUCAAUUUUAAUCUCAUUAAGGUCACUAUCUAUUUAAGAGUCUUUGUCUUAGUAACCAGCCUAUAACCUAACUAGUACACACGCAUUUUCUUGUUUAUUUCUACUUAUCUUAUUUAAUUAUCCAAGAAAGUGAGUGCAGAACAAAGAUUUGAACCCAAGACUGCCUGACUCAGGAGCCCAUGCUGCUGGCCACGCGUUCAACACUCAGCUCCUGUGUCCCCUGGGCUGAAUCUCUUACUACGUGCAGAGUGGAGUCUCGAUGCUUUACACAGUUCUCUCAUUGCCUCUUUGCAUUUUCUCCAUCAUUUCUGGCUGCAAGCAUACCAUCUAUUUUGCCAAGGACCUUCUUACAAACGAAGCCUGUGAAACUGAAGGUGGAACUUCAAGCAAGCUCUGGCACAGUGGGGACCACACCUGAGGCGCACAGACCCGGCACAGCCUCAGGACUAGGUAAUAAGUCAGCAGAGGCUAGAGCAGAGCUCCAGUCUCCCUUCCCCAGGGGCCAACCCGAUGCACCUACAGCAUCCUGCAGUUCGCUGUGUUACUCCGGAACCAAGGCUGUGUUUCAAGGAAUUGCAAGGCACUUAUUCACAAGGCUAGUCUUAUCUUCUGGGCAGAUGGGAGGAACCUGUGUUUGUCACAGGAGCAGAUAGAAAGAUUCGAACUACGUCAGUGACAAACCCUUUUCUGCAGUUCAAAGUCCUCUGAACCUGUGGGUUCUCUGAUAAAGUGGUGUGUGUGUGUGUGUGUGUGUGCGUGCACGCACACGUAUGUGCAUACAAGACAGGAGAAACAGCACAGGCUCCAUACUCUACGUCACUGACUCUAACAGAUAUGAUUAUUUUAUGUAUUCACGUCUUCAAGUCUGGCCUUAAAUGGCAACAUAAGCAGAAAGAUGCCAAGAAGAGUAAUGGAACAAGAGCUUAAUUAUAGCGGCCUUUGUCCAACUAACACGCCAAUAAUUUGCCUCAUUGAAUGAUUCAGCAGUUAUCCUGCCAGGCUCCCAAAGAAAGCCCCUAUCUGAGAUGACGUAAUCUCUCUCCACACCCACUGCCACACAUUUACCGUCCCUCCCCAGAGCCACAGUUCCAUCUGUGGCACCUUCAGUUGCCAUCUGCAUGGUGACAAAUAUGUAUUUCAUCAUUUAAAUGGUAUUACAAUGCACAAUGUUGCUAAUCAAGCCCUCCACGUUUAAAAAAUUCAAUAAAAAAGUUAAGACAG
Molecule: long non-coding RNA, 10352 nt
Organism: Phyllostomus discolor (pale spear-nosed bat)
Lineage: Eukaryota; Metazoa; Chordata; Mammalia; Chiroptera; Phyllostomidae
Exons: 2
Source: RefSeq, a predicted model, not a curated record